Molecule: ribosomal RNA, 368 nt
Filed under: Halodesulfovibrio marinisediminis
Lineage: Bacteria; Pseudomonadati; Thermodesulfobacteriota; Desulfovibrionia; Desulfovibrionales; Desulfovibrionaceae
Description: bacterial SSU rRNA
Rfam family: Bacterial small subunit ribosomal RNA
Source: RNAcentral
AAUACCGUAUACGCUGGUAACGGGAAAGGGGGCCUCUUCUUGAAAGCUCUCGCCAGUAGAUGAGUCCGCGUUUCAUUAGCUAGACGGUGGGGUAACGGCCUACCGUGGCAACGAUGAAUAGCAGGCCUGAGAGGGUGGCCUGCCACACUGGGACUGGAACACGGCCCAGACUCCUACGGGAGGCAGCAGUGGGGAAUAUUGCGCAAUGGACGAAAGUCUGACGCAGCGACGCCGCGUGGAGGAUGAAGGUUUUCGGAUCGUAAACUCCUGUCAAGAGGGAAGAAACCUAUUAUGAAUAAUACUCAUGGUAAUUGACGGUACCUCUAGAGGAAGCACCGGCUAAUUCAGUGCCAGCAGCCGCGGUAAUA